GCCAGGCACGGUGGCGCGCGCCUGUAGUCCCAGCUACUCAGGAGGCUGAGGCAGGAGGAUCACUUGAGCCCAGGAGUUCUGGGCUGUAGUGCGCUAUGCGGAUUGGGUGUCCGCACUAAGUUCAGCAUCAAUAUGGUGACCUCCCGGGAGCGGGGGACCACCAGGUUGCCUAAGGAGGGGUGAACCGGCCCAGGUCGGAAACGGAGCAGGUCAAAACUCCCGUGCUGAUCAGUAGUGGGAUCGCGCCUGUGAAUAGCCACUACACUCCAGCCUGGGCACCAUAGCGAGACCCCGUCUCUU
Molecule: signal recognition particle RNA, 300 nt
Filed under: Mustela putorius furo (domestic ferret)
Lineage: Eukaryota; Metazoa; Chordata; Mammalia; Carnivora; Mustelidae
Description: Metazoan signal recognition particle RNA
Rfam family: Metazoan signal recognition particle RNA
About the family: The signal recognition particle (SRP) is a universally conserved ribonucleoprotein. It is involved in the co-translational targeting of proteins to membranes.
Source: Rfam by way of RNAcentral